GGCAUAAGGAGGAAGGGGGAGGUGGAGGGGCUUAGUCUACACAAGGAACAUCAACGUGUGGGGGGCGGCAGAUCGAUCAUGAGGAAAUAUCAGAGGGGUGGUAAUUUAUAGGUGAGAUCUCGUAGGACUUGGCCGCCGAUGAGCGAACGAGGAAUGCGGGGAGGCGUUGGAUGUGGGCACGAACCAUGUGAGGUGCGCGAGAGGAAGCUGCAGCCGGUGGAUCGGAGCUGGGUGGAUUUCCACACGAACGAGAGGAAGGGGGAGAAAGAUUAAGGGAGGAGGAGGCUGCGCGUGCAUGAGGUGAAGC
RNAcentral lists this long non-coding RNA (307 nucleotides) under Hordeum vulgare. RNAcentral's name for it is "long non-coding RNA (HVUL_LNC020750)". Lineage: Eukaryota; Viridiplantae; Streptophyta; Magnoliopsida; Poales; Poaceae. The record is from RNAcentral.